GGCAGUGUGGCACAGUGGGUAAGGAACUGGGCUUGUAACCGAAAGGUCAUAGGUUUGAUUCCUGGGACACUGCCG
Molecule: transfer RNA, 75 nt
Filed under: Anguilla anguilla (European eel)
Lineage: Eukaryota; Metazoa; Chordata; Actinopteri; Anguilliformes; Anguillidae
Description: tRNA-OTHER
Source: RNAcentral